This 732-nucleotide ribosomal RNA is filed under the name uncultured Leptotrichia sp. Its description in RNAcentral is "bacterial SSU rRNA". It matches the Rfam family "Bacterial small subunit ribosomal RNA", at positions 28 to 776 of the family's 1533-position model. The record is from RNAcentral. Lineage: Bacteria; Fusobacteriati; Fusobacteriota; Fusobacteriia; Fusobacteriales; Leptotrichiaceae.
GAUGAACGCUGACAGAAUGCUUAACACAUGCAAGUCUUUGGCGAAGCUGUGCUUGCACAGCCUAGCCAAGGCGGACGGGUGAGUAACGCGUAAGGGACUUGCCCUGCAGUCAGGGAUAACAGACGGAAACGACUGAUAAAACCUGGUAAAGUCAGGCGGACUCAUGUCCAGCCUGAUGAAAAGGAAUGCUGCAGGAGAGCCUUGCGUCCUAUUAGCUUGUUGGUGGGGUAACGGCCCACCAAGGCGAUGAUAGGUAGCCGGCCUGAGAGGGUGGACGGCCACAAGGGGACUGAGAUACGGCCCUUACUCCUACGGGAGGCAGCAGUGGGGAAUAUUGGACAAUGGGGGCAACCCUGAUCCAGCAAUUCUGUGUGCACGAUGAAGGUCUUCGGAUUGUAAAGUGCUUUCAGCAGGGAAGAAAAAAAUGACGGUACCUGCAGAAGAAGCGACGGCUAAAUACGUGCCAGCAGCCGCGGUAAUACGUAUGUCGCGAGCGUUAUCCGGAAUUAUUGGGCAUAAAGGGCAUCUAGGCGGCCGGAUAAGUCUGGGGUGAAAACUUGCGGCUCAACCGCAAGCCUGUCCUGGAAACUAUGCGGCUAGAGUGCUGGAGAGGUGGACGGAACUGCACGAGUAGAGGUGAAAUUCGUAGAUAUGUGCAGGAAUGCCGAUGAUGAAGAUAGUUCACUGGACGGCAACUGACGCUGAAGUGCGAAAGCUAGGGGAGCAAACAGG